RNAcentral lists this ribosomal RNA (253 nucleotides) under uncultured bacterium. RNAcentral's name for it is "partial 16S ribosomal RNA". It matches the Rfam family "Bacterial small subunit ribosomal RNA", at positions 524 to 776 of the family's 1533-position model. The record is from RNAcentral.
UACGUAGGGGGCAAGCGUUGUCCGGAAUCAUUGGGCGUAAAGAGCGUGUAGGCGGCUCGGUAAGUCCGCUGUGAAAGUCCAGGGCUCAACCCUGGAAUGCCGGUGGAAACUGUCGAGCUAGAGUCCGGAAGAGGCGAGUGGAAUUCCUGGUGUAGCGGUGAAAUGCGCAGAUAUCAGGAGGAACACCGAUGGCGAAGGCAGCUCGCUGGGACGGUACUGACGCUCAUGCACGAAAGCGUGGGGAGCAAACAGG